This 496-nucleotide ribosomal RNA is filed under the name uncultured bacterium. RNAcentral's name for it is "partial 16S ribosomal RNA". It matches the Rfam family "Bacterial small subunit ribosomal RNA", at positions 28 to 523 of the family's 1533-position model. The record is from RNAcentral.
GAUGAACGCUGGCGGCGUGCUUAACACAUGCAAGUCGAACGAGGUAUAUUGGAAUGAGUUCUUCGGAACAAAUGAAUUUAUACUUAGUGGCGGACGGGUGAGUAACGCGUGGAUAACCUGCCUUACACUGGGGGACAACAGUUAGAAAUGACUGCUAAUACCGCAUAAGCGCACAGUACCGCAUGGUACGGUGUGAAAAACUCCGGUGGUGUAAGAUGGACCCGCGUCUGAUUAGCUAGUUGGUGAGGUAAUGGCUCACCAAGGAGACGAUCAGUAGCCGGACGGAGAGGGUGAACGGCCACAAUGGGACGGAGACACUGCCCAGGCUCCUGCGGGAGGCAGCAGUGGGGAAUAUUGCACAAUAGGCGAAAGCCUGAUGCAGCGACGCCGCGUGAGCGAAGAAGUAUUUCGGUAUGUAAAGCUCUAUCAGCAAGGAAGAUAGUGACGGUACUUGACUAAGAAGCCCCGGCUAACUACGUGCCAGCAGCCGCAGUAA